GGGGAUGUGGCUCAAUAGCAGAGCACUUGCCUGGCAUGUGGGAAGCUCUGGGUUUGAUCCACAGCAUCACAA
RNAcentral lists this transfer RNA (72 nucleotides) under Marmota marmota marmota (Alpine marmot). It matches the Rfam family "tRNA". From Rfam's summary of the family: Transfer RNA (tRNA) molecules are approximately 80 nucleotides in length. Their secondary structure includes four short double-helical elements and three loops (D, anti-codon, and T loops). RNAcentral also lists the same sequence under 2 other names. Lineage: Eukaryota; Metazoa; Chordata; Mammalia; Rodentia; Sciuridae. The record is from Rfam by way of RNAcentral.